UGCUGGGAUUGAAUGGCUUGGAUUCGCCGAGUCGGACUUCGUUUCAUUUAAGCUGUUAUGCAGGGCUGUCCUCAGUGGUUUGGAAUUCUUGGUCCAGUUCACGGAAUUUUUGAGGUGGUUGAGGUUAGAUCGGGUAUGACAGUUGGGAUGUUAGUUUCGUAAUGAUAGUUAGAAUUCUGUUGGAGGUUUUGGGUGAAGUCAGGUUGGUCAUGAACUCAUUCCCUGGUUCUGUUAUCAGGUCGCAGGUUAUUAGUAGUUGGAGGUUUAGUUUUGUAGUGGAGUUUUGAAGUGUUGAUGAGAGGGUUUCUUUGAAGGGUUCAAGAACUUGGUUAGGGUGGUUAUGACAGUUGAAAAAUUUAGUUUUGAAUUAUCAUUUUCUUUCAUUUUGCUUAGCAAUUUAUGUUGGUCAUUUUUUAUGAUGCAUUCCGUUUGGUGCAGGUUUCAAACCGCUUUCGCUUGG
This 460-nucleotide long non-coding RNA is filed under the name Lathyrus oleraceus (garden pea). RNAcentral describes it as "Pisum sativum (pea) long non-coding RNA (PSAT_LNC040432)". Lineage: Eukaryota; Viridiplantae; Streptophyta; Magnoliopsida; Fabales; Fabaceae. The record is from RNAcentral.